This 502-nucleotide ribosomal RNA is filed under the name uncultured bacterium. Its description in RNAcentral is "partial 16S ribosomal RNA". It matches the Rfam family "Bacterial small subunit ribosomal RNA", at positions 30 to 523 of the family's 1533-position model. The record is from RNAcentral.
AUUGAACGCUGACGGCAUGCUUAACACAUGCAAGUCGAACGGCAGCACAGUGUGUAGCAAUACACAUGGGUGGCGAGUGGCGGACGGUUGCGUAACGCGUAGGAAUCUGCCUUGAAGAGGGGGACAACCCGAGGAAACUCGGGCUAAUACCGCAUAAUCUCGAGAGAGCAAAGCUGGCGCAACCGGGCCCUUCAAGCGGAGCCUGCGUCCGAUUAGCUAGUUGGUGGGGUAAAAGCCUACCAAGGCGAUGAUGGGUAGCUGGUCGGAGAGGAUGAUCAGCCACACUGGGACUGAGACACGGCCCAGACUCCUACGGGAGGAAGCAGUGGGGAAUAUUGGACAAUGGGCGAAAGCCUGAUCCAGCAAUGCCGCGUGUGUGAAGAAGGCCUUCGGGUUGUAAAGCACUUUAGGUUGGGAGGAAGUAUUGUAGUUUAAGAGAUAGCAAUAUUGACUGUACCGACAGAAUAAGCACCGGCUAACUCUGUGCCAGCCGCCGCCGUAA